RNAcentral lists this long non-coding RNA (1595 nucleotides) under Homo sapiens (human). Its description in RNAcentral is "PREDICTED lncRNA (TCONS_00063814)". The record is from RNAcentral. Lineage: Eukaryota; Metazoa; Chordata; Mammalia; Primates; Hominidae.
GAGCUCAUUGAUCAUCAUAACAGAGUCUAUUGAAAGUCCUCAGCAGGCGGUGUGACGAUGUGACCAGCUCUGGCCAAGGAGCUGUAGGCAGAAGUGUCUUGCAGCAGCUCCUGUAAAUCUUAAAAGACAGCUGGUGCGUGUCUUUUUUCCUUUUUUUUUCCCUUCCCCCUUCCUGCUGCGCUGAAUAUGGAUAUGGUGAGUGAAUCUAGAGCAGCCAUUUGGAGGUAUGAAGAGAUCUUGGAAAUAGAGGCCAUGUGUGUUGAAACAAGACCGAACAACUCCAAGUUCCUGAAGACUUCAUUUCACCAACCCAGAACCUCCUUGAUCAUCACAGCCUUUGCAUGGAUGAUUGUCUGUCCUCUGUUGGGCCCCUUCUGAAGAGUUGGAGUUGGGUUGCUGCUGCUGUGCAGCUGAGGUACAAUCCCUCUCGUUCUUUGGGCAUCAGCCUCUGUUCUCCCUACAUGUGCUGUUUGCAAACUAUAGAAACCAUUUGGGCUGGUUUGAGCAUAAAAGGAAAUUACUGGGAGUUAUUAGGUGCUCGGUGAUUCAUUGGGAGGUCUGGCAAAAAAGAAGCUCAAGGCUAAGCUCAUAGGAACACAGCCCGGCAUCUCACACAGAAGUGGCUUGAUGAGGAUUCUACUGCCUCCACAGCUCCUGCCAUCAUCUUCAUCUGCACCAUAGAUGCUCAGAACCCAGUCUGUGUCUGCAUGUUGCUGACUUCCAAAUGAGAGCUUCAUGAGAGUGUAUUUGGUUGGUAGAACAUAGGUCCCAGACCUUCUCCCUGGGAGCUGGAAGAGAUGCUGGGAAAUUCUGCCCUGGAAAAAUAAAACUCACAAUGUGGGAAACAAAGAAAAUGUACAGCAGGGGUUUAACAGAAUGACAGCUACAGUUUAGACUCCUGUGGUACAGUUGGCUUUCCCAGGCUCCCGGCGUCCAUGCUGUCUCGGCGCUAUCUCGCAGCCUGACGCCACGCGCCAUCUGCUGGCCUUGAGCUGCAUAGCUCUAGAGUAACUUCAGAGGCCACGGGGGAACAAAGAGCACUCGCCUACUUGACUGAGCUCCGACAGGCCGUCCCUCUGCUUCAGGUGUAGGCGUGAACAAGUCCAGACCACUACCUUAACAGCUUUAUACAAUUAUUCCCAAAUCUUCUAAACUGACAGUGAGGGAGAGUAAUUUGAAAGGACUGCUCAACUCAACGUCAUUUGAAGAUUUGCACCACAGCUGCAUUUUUCCAAUUUCCUGGCAUCUAUUCUGCUCUCCUGGACUUUUCAAAAACAAUUUCUUUCAGAUCCCUGGAGGCCUCUCCCAGGGCCUGUGGUGUGGAGAGUUGGACUUGACCCUACUGUAAGAGACCCAACUUCCAAAGACUGCAUCAGAUGAAAGGCUCUCCAUAUAGACUACAGACUUGUCAGCUGGUUAAGGAGGCAAACAGAACAGUCUGCUACAAACUCCAGUCCAUGUAUCUGUGCUGAAAAUAAAAGGAGUCUUCAGGAAUCAAAGAAGAAAAUAUUUUUAUAAAGAAAUUUUAUUGCAUAAUUCUUGUAUACAAUAAACAUAGGAAAAGGGUUUUUAAUGAAAAUUCAUGUCAUUUUUCA